Molecule: ribosomal RNA, 772 nt
Filed under: uncultured Thermoplasmatales archaeon
Lineage: Archaea; Methanobacteriati; Thermoplasmatota; Thermoplasmata; Thermoplasmatales
Description: bacterial SSU rRNA
Rfam family: Archaeal small subunit ribosomal RNA
Source: RNAcentral
GCGGCUUUGGAAGAACCGCUCACCGAAAGGGACGGAGGGAAUGGCCUUCGUCCGCGCGAGGAUGGGGCUGCGUCCCAUCAGGCAGUUGGUGGGGUAAUGGCCCACCAAACCUAUAACGGGUACGGGCCGUGAGAGAGGGAGCCCGGAGAUGGGUUCUGAGACACGAACCCAGGCCCUACGGGGCGCAGCAGGCGCGAAACCUUCGCACUGCGCGAAAGCGCGACGAGGGGAGCCCGAGUGCCUCUCCAUUUCGGGGAGGCUUUUCACAAGCCUAAAAAGCUUGUGGAAUAAGGGCUGGGCAAGACGGGUGCCAGCCGCCGCGGUAAUACCCGCAGCUCGAGUGGUGGUCGCUUUUAUUGAGCCUAAAACGUUCGUAGUCGGCCUUGUAAAUCCCUGGGUAAAUCGGACCGCUUAACGGUUCGAAUUCCGGGGAGACUGCAAGGCUAGGGACCGGGCGAGGUCAGAGGUACUUUCGGGGUAGGAGUGAAAUCCUGUAAUCCCGAAGGGACCACCUGUGGCGAAAGCGUCUGACUUGAACGGCUCCGACGAUGAGGAACGAAGGCUAGGGGAGCAAACCGGAUUAGAUACCCGGGUAGUCCUAGCUGUAAACUCUGCCCGCUUGGUGUGGCCUGUCCUUCGGGGGCAGGCUGUGCCGGAGCGAAGGUGUUAAGCGGGCUGCUUGGGGAGUACGGCCGCAAGGUUGAAACUUAAAGGAAUUGGCGGGGGAGCACCGCAACGGGAGGAUGCGUGCGGUUUAAUGGAUCAACGCCGG